GACAGAGGUGCCGAGCGUUAGGCGGAAUCACUGGGCUUAAAGCGUGUGUAGGCGGACUGAUAAGUACCUUGUGAAAUCCCACGGCUUAACCGUGGAACUGCUUGGUAUACUGUCGGUCUUGAGCCAGCUAGAGGUUACCGGAACAAAUGGUGGAGCGGUGAAAUGCGUAGAUAUCGGGAGGAACACCAGUGGCGAAAGCGGCUCUCUGGGGGCGAUCUGACGCUGAGGCGCGAAAGCGUGGGGAGCAAACCGG
Molecule: ribosomal RNA, 253 nt
Filed under: uncultured bacterium
Lineage: Bacteria
Description: partial 16S ribosomal RNA
Rfam family: Bacterial small subunit ribosomal RNA
Source: RNAcentral